CCGAGUACCGGGUCUUCAGGGCCCAUACUCCCACCCUUUGUGUAUCAAUAUUCUGUUCGUUGCCUCGGCGGGGUCGAUCCCAUUGCGGGGGACCUGCCGGGGGGACACCACUAAACUCCUAUCAACGGUGACGUCUGAGAAAAUCUUUAAACAAGUUA
This 158-nucleotide unclassified non-coding RNA is filed under the name uncultured Helicosporium. RNAcentral's name for it is "sequence contains ITS1". Lineage: Eukaryota; Fungi; Ascomycota; Dothideomycetes; Tubeufiales; Tubeufiaceae. The record is from RNAcentral.